GUGGUCGCUUUGGCAGCACAUAUACUAAAAUUGGAACCAUACAGAGAAGAUGAGCAUGGCCCCUGGGCUAGGAUGACACACAAAUUUGUGAAGAGUUCAAUAUUCUU
Small nuclear RNA from Suricata suricatta (meerkat), 107 nucleotides. The record is from Ensembl. Lineage: Eukaryota; Metazoa; Chordata; Mammalia; Carnivora; Herpestidae.